RNAcentral lists this ribosomal RNA (476 nucleotides) under uncultured bacterium. Its description in RNAcentral is "bacterial SSU rRNA". It matches the Rfam family "Bacterial small subunit ribosomal RNA", at positions 329 to 801 of the family's 1533-position model. The record is from RNAcentral.
GAGUGGACUCCUACGGGAGGCAGCAGUGAGGAAUAUUGGUCAAUGGACGUAAGUCUGAACCAGCCAAGUAGCGUGCAGGAUUGACGGCCCUAUGGGUUGUAAACUGCUUUUGUUGGGGAGUAAAGUGGGGCACGCGUGCCUUUUUGCAUUUACCCUUCGAAUAAGGACCGGCUAAUUCCGUGCCAGCAGCCGCGGUAAUACGGAAGGUCCAGGCGUUAUCCGGAUUUAUUGGGUUUAAAGGGAGUGUAGGCGGUCUGUUAAGCGUGUUGUGAAAUUUAGGUGCUCAACAUCUACCUUGCAGCGCGAACUGGCGGACUUGAGUGCACGCAACGUAUGCGGAAUUCAUGGUGUAGCGGUGAAAUGCUUAGAUAUCAUGACGAACUCCGAUUGCGAAGGCAGCGUACGGGAGUGUUACUGACGCUUAAGCUCGAAGGUGCGGGUAUCGAACAGGAUUAGAUACCCUUGUAGUCCUGAGU